Non-coding RNA from Salvia hispanica, 720 nucleotides. The record is from RefSeq and is a predicted model, not a curated record. NCBI's taxonomy places the organism in Eukaryota, Viridiplantae, Streptophyta, Magnoliopsida, Lamiales, Lamiaceae.
UUAGCCGAAACAAAUAAAAUGUUAAUCCAACAACAAUUAAUUUAAAAUAACCCACAUAUAAAUAGUCAUUCAUCGUCUUCCUCAUUAUUUACCCAAAUAAAAAAAAAUGAUGUGAGAGAAGCUCCCUUUUCUCCCUACUGCCGCCGCCAUCACCAGCGCCGCCGUCCGCCGUCCGCCGUCGCCGCCUCCGGCGGCGCCCUCUAUCUCCAUCCAUCUCCCCCCUCUCUUUUCUUCCUUCCUCUCUUCUCUCACUCUCUCUCUCUUUUCUCCCUCAGCCACGCUCACGCCACCGCCGCCUCCGGCGGUGCUCCUCUUCUCUUCUCUUCUCCGUCUUCUUCUCGCCCUGAUUCCGCCGCCAUCACCGUCAUGCACCGCCUCGACGGCUGCAGCCCUCUCUUUCCAGCUCUAUUAGCGCCAUUUACCGCCUCCCCCUUUCGGAUCUGCCGCCGCCGCCACUGUGCUUGCACAGGCGGUGGCUUCGGCCUCCUCCGUGCCCCGAACCGCCGGCCGCCUCUUCGCCGGUUUCAACAAGCAAGGAAAACUAACAUCCAUGGUUAUCUCCGUUGAUGUAUCGGACUUCCUUGGAGGACAAGCACGGCCGUUGAGCGGGCUGCCUGGACUCUCUAAUUGUAAUAGAUUACGAAUUUGCUUCAUUUGUAUAAUAGUAUUUUAGCGGACUUCGGAGAUGUGCUGGACAUUAUAAAUUUUUAUUUGGUGUCA